GACGAACGCUGGCGGCGUGCUUAACACAUGCAAGUCGAACGGAAAGGCCCUGCUUGCAGGGUACUCGAGUGGCGAACGGGUGAGUAACACGUGGGUGAUCUGCCCUGCACUUCGGGAUAAGCCUGGGAAACUGGGUCUAAUACCGGAUAGGAGCCAUUUUUAGUGUGAUGGUUGGAAAGUUUUUUCGGUGUAGGAUGAGCUCGCGGCCUAUCAGCUUGUUGGUGGGGUAAUGGCCUACCAAGGCGGCGACGGGAAGCCGGCCUGAGAGGGUGGACGGCCACAUUGGGACUGGGAUACGGCCCAGACUCCUACGGGAGGCAGCAGUGGGGAAUAUUGCACAAUGGGCGCAAGCCUGAUGCAGCGACGCCGCGUGGGGGAUGACGGCCUUCGGGUUGUAAACUCCUUUCGCUAGGGACGAAGCUUUUUGUGACGGUACCUAGAUAAGAAGCACCGGCUAACUACGUG
Molecule: ribosomal RNA, 465 nt
Filed under: uncultured bacterium
Lineage: Bacteria
Description: partial 16S ribosomal RNA
Rfam family: Bacterial small subunit ribosomal RNA
Source: RNAcentral